GACGAACGCUGGCGGCGUGCUUAACACAUGCAAGUCGAACGGAAAGGCCCUGCUUUUGUGGGGUGCUCGAGUGGCGAACGGGUGAGUAACACGUGAGUAACCUGCCCUUGACUUGGGAUAACUUCAGGAAACUGGGGCUAAUACCGGAUAGGAGCUCCUGCUGCAUGGUGGGGGUUGGAAAGUUUCGGCGGUUGGGGAUGGACUCGCGGCUUAUCAGCUUGUUGGUGGGGUAGUGGCUUACCAAGGCUUUGACGGGUAGCCGGCCUGAGAGGGUGACCGGCCACAUUGGGACUGAGAUACGGCCCAGACUCCUACGGGAGGCAGCAGUGGGGAAUAUUGCACAAUGGGCGGAAGCCUGAUGCAGCAACGCCGCGUGCGGGAUGACGGCCUUCGGGCUGUAAACCGCUUUCGCCUGUGACGAAGCGUGAGUGACGGUAAUGGGUAAAGAAGCACCGGCUAACUACGUG
RNAcentral lists this ribosomal RNA (467 nucleotides) under uncultured bacterium. RNAcentral's name for it is "partial 16S ribosomal RNA". It matches the Rfam family "Bacterial small subunit ribosomal RNA", at positions 28 to 507 of the family's 1533-position model. The record is from RNAcentral.